RNAcentral lists this ribosomal RNA (315 nucleotides) under Triticum aestivum (bread wheat). Its description in RNAcentral is "partial small subunit ribosomal RNA". Lineage: Eukaryota; Viridiplantae; Streptophyta; Magnoliopsida; Poales; Poaceae. The record is from RNAcentral.
GUCAGGCAUAUUACACCAGGAAACCAUCCUGGUAAUGGUAGCGGGAAAAGGAAGUGUGGCAGGGCGGAAGGGAGACUAUUGUUUACCCGCAGGUCCACUUUGUGGGACCUGGAGUAUUGGAAAGAUUUGGAUCUGCGGCAUAAUCUUGAUGUGAUGCACAUCGAGAAAAAUAUAUGUGACAAAAUUAUUGGCACACUUGUUAAUAUUGAAGGCAAGAAUACCUUGAAAUCUAGGAUUGAUUUGACACACCUGGGUAAUAGAAAGGAUUUGCAAGUGGAAGAUGAAGGUAAACCACGGGAUAUGGCACCAGCUGUG